Molecule: ribosomal RNA, 490 nt
Filed under: uncultured bacterium
Lineage: Bacteria
Description: partial 16S ribosomal RNA
Rfam family: Bacterial small subunit ribosomal RNA
Source: RNAcentral
AGUGAACGCUGGCGGUAGGCCUAACACAUGCAAGUCGAACGGCAGCACAGUAAGAGCUUGCUCUUACGGGUGGCGAGUGGCGGACGGGUGAGGAAUACAUCGGAAUCUACUUUUUCGUGGGGGAUAACGUAGGGAAACUUACGCUAAUACCGCAUACGACCUACGGGUGAAAGCAGGGGAUCUUCGGACCUUGCGCGAUUGAAUGAGCCGAUGUCGGAUUAGCUAGUUGGCGGGGUAAAGGCCCACCAAGGCGACGAUCCGUAGCUGGUCUGAGAGGGUGCACCGCCACUGUGACGCUGAGACGGUGCAGACUCCUACGGGAGGCAGCAGUGGGGAAUAUUGGACAAUGGGCGCAAGCCUGAUCCAGCCAUACCGCGUGGGUGAAGAAGGCCUUCGGGUUGUAAAGCCCUUUUGUUGGGAAAGAAAAGCAGCAGGUUAAUACCCCGCUGUUCUGACGGUACCCAAAGAAUAAGCACCGGCUAACUUCGUG